Molecule: ribosomal RNA, 521 nt
Filed under: uncultured bacterium
Lineage: Bacteria
Description: bacterial SSU rRNA
Rfam family: Bacterial small subunit ribosomal RNA
Source: RNAcentral
AGAGUUUGAUUAUGGCUCAGGAUGAACGCUAGCUACAGGCUUAACACAUGCAAGUCGAGGGGCAGCAGAUCGAAAGCUUGCUUUGAUGCUGGCGACCGGCGCACGGGUGAGUAACGCGUAUCCAACCUUCCCUAUAGUAGAGAAUAGCCCGGCGAAAGUCGGAUUAAUGCUCUAUGUUGUAUUUAGAAGACAUCUGAAGAAUACCAAAGGUUUACCGCUAUAGGAUGGGGAUGCGUCUGAUUAGGUAGUAGGCGGGGUAACGGCCCACCUAGCCGACGAUCAGUAGGGGUUCUGAGAGGAAGGUCCCCCACAUUGGAACUGAGACACGGUCCAAACUCCUACGGGAGGCAGCAGUGAGGAAUAUUGGUCAAUGGACGGAAGUCUGAACCAGCCAAGUAAGCGUGCAGGAUGACGGCCCUAUGGGUUGUAAACUGCUUUUAUAUAGGGAUAAAGUCGGGGACGUGUCCCCGUUUGUAGGUACUAUAUGAAUAAGGACCGGCUAAUUCCGUGCCAGCCGCCGC